RNAcentral lists this unclassified non-coding RNA (256 nucleotides) under plant metagenome. RNAcentral's name for it is "partial contains small subunit ribosomal RNA, internal transcribed spacer 1, and 5.8S ribosomal RNA". The stretch from base 1 to 55 matches the Rfam family "Eukaryotic small subunit ribosomal RNA", at positions 1778 to 1831 of the family's 1831-position model. The record is from RNAcentral.
GGAAGUAAAAGUCGUUAACAAGGUUUCCGUAGGUGAACCUGCGGAAGGAUCAUUAUUGGAUUUUGAAACUUCAGGCUGCUGCUGGCUCUCCUCGGAGGGCAUGUGCACGCUUGUUGUCCAUUAUUUCUCCCACUGUGCACAAAUUGUAGACCUUUCAGUAGGCCUAUGUUGUUCUUCACAAUCUCUGAAUGUAAUAGAAUGGUUUUGAAUCUUGGGAAAUACAAUACAACUUUCAGCAACGGAUCUCUUGGCUCUC